RNAcentral lists this transfer RNA (73 nucleotides) under Bos taurus (domestic cattle). It matches the Rfam family "tRNA". From Rfam's summary of the family: Transfer RNA (tRNA) molecules are approximately 80 nucleotides in length. Their secondary structure includes four short double-helical elements and three loops (D, anti-codon, and T loops). The record is from Rfam by way of RNAcentral. RNAcentral also lists the same sequence under 2 other names. Lineage: Eukaryota; Metazoa; Chordata; Mammalia; Artiodactyla; Bovidae.
ACCUAGCUAGCCCAGUCAGUAGAGCAUGAGACUCUUAAUCUCAGGGUCGUGGGUUCGAGCCACACGUUGGGCA